Molecule: ribosomal RNA, 253 nt
Filed under: uncultured bacterium
Lineage: Bacteria
Description: partial 16S ribosomal RNA
Rfam family: Bacterial small subunit ribosomal RNA
Source: RNAcentral
UACGGAGGGUGCGAGCGUUGUCCGGAAUUACUGGGCGUAAAGCGUGCGUAGACGGCUAUCUAAGUCGGGUGUGAAAGCCCCGGGCUCAACCUGGGAAUUGCAUUUGAGACUGCGUAGCUAGGGUGCGGAAGAGGGAAGCGGAAUUUCCGGUGUAGCGGUGAAAUGCGUAGAUAUCGGAAGGAACACCAGUGGCGAAAGCGGCUUCCUGGUCCAGCACCGACGUUCAGGCACGAAAGCGUGGGGAGCAAACAGG